RNAcentral lists this ribosomal RNA (486 nucleotides) under uncultured Bacillota bacterium. RNAcentral's name for it is "bacterial SSU rRNA". It matches the Rfam family "Bacterial small subunit ribosomal RNA", at positions 355 to 833 of the family's 1533-position model. Lineage: Bacteria; Bacillati; Bacillota. The record is from RNAcentral.
UAGGGAAUCUUCCACAAUGGACGGAAGUCUGAUGGAGCAACGCCGCGUGAGCGAAGAAGGUUUUCGGAUCGUAAAGCUCUGUUGUGAGGGAAGAACAAGUAUAGGAGUAACUGCCUGUACCUUGACGGUACCUCAUUAGAAAGCCACGGCUAACUACGUGCCAGCAGCCGCGGUAAUACGUAGGUGGCAAGCGUUGUCCGGAAUUAUUGGGCGUAAAGCGCGCGCAGGCGGCCUUUUAAGUCUGAUGUGAAAGCCCACGGCUUAACCGUGGAAGGUCAUUGGAAACUGGAAGGCUUGAGUACAGAAGAGGAAAGCGGAAUUCCACGUGUAGCGGUGAAAUGCGUAGAGAUGUGGAGGAACACCAGUGGCGAAGGCGGCUUUCUGGUCUGUAACUGACGCUGAGGCGCGAAAGCGUGGGGAGCAAACAGGAUUAGAUACCCUGGUAGUCCACGCCGUAAACGAUGAGUGCUAAGUGUUAGGGGGUUU